AGAGUUUGAUCCUGGCUCAGAGCGAACGCUGGCGGCAGGCCUAACACAUGCAAGUCGAGCGCCCGUAGCAAUACGGGAGCGGCAGACGGGAGAGUAACACGUGGGAACGCGCCCUUCGGUUCGGAAUAACUCAGGGAAACUUGAGCUAAUACCGGAUACGCCCUUACGGGGAAAGAUUUAUUGCCGAAGGAACGGCCCGCGUCCGAUUAGCUAGUUGGUGAGGUAAUGGCUCACCAAGGCGACGAUCGGUAGCUGGUCUGAGAGGAUGACCAGCCUCACUGGGACUGAGACACGGCCCAGACUCCUACGGGAGGCAGCAGUGGGGAAUAUUGGACAAUGGGCGCAAGCCUGAUCCAGCCAUGCCGCGUGGAUGAUGAAGGCCCUAGGGUUGUAAA
RNAcentral lists this ribosomal RNA (395 nucleotides) under uncultured bacterium. Its description in RNAcentral is "bacterial SSU rRNA". It matches the Rfam family "Bacterial small subunit ribosomal RNA", at positions 8 to 429 of the family's 1533-position model. The record is from RNAcentral.